UUUCAUUUAAAUAAAUUAUCAUCUACCACUAAAACGGGUUUAAAUUUGUUAAUCAUGUCAGAUUUUUUUUAUACAAAUGAAGUUAUUAACAUAUGUUAAAAAUUUAUUUCUACAGCUAUAUAUUUUCAAAAAUCAUAUGUUGACGAAUAUUUUUUAUUUGAUUAUUUUAAAUUAUGAAAACUCGAAAACAUAAUAAAAAAAGGUAAAAUGUAUAAAACAAAUCUCUACAUUAAUAAAGUAAUAAGAAACCUAAACAAUAAAAUUAAAGAGUUAUAAAAUAAAUAACACUAAGAUAUAAAUUGUAUAUUUAAGUUUAUAUAAUAAUAUCAAAAUUAAAUAUUUAUAAAAUGAAAAUAUACCCGCAUGAUGUGCGGGAUAAACUCUAGUUAACUAUUAAGAUGCAUAUAGUUAGAGUAAUUAUUAACGACAAAAUAAAAAGAAAUAAAAAGUAUGAUCACUUCUCUAAAAAUAAAUAAAAUAAAAUCUCAAUAUCAUAAGAAAAAUAAUUAGCAAAAAAUCUGUCAAAUAUAUAUAGUUAAUUUAUGAAAGUGAAAUAAAAAAAUUACUUUUAAUCAAAGUAACAAAUUAUUAAAAUCAAAAUAUCAUGAUCACAUCAAGAAAACAACUUGUGUAUUACUAAUUAUAUUAUAUAGUUUACAUACUUUUUUGUCAACAUAUAGUUUACAUACUAGCCUA
RNAcentral lists this long non-coding RNA (696 nucleotides) under Brassica rapa (field mustard). RNAcentral's name for it is "long non-coding RNA (BRAP_LNC002932)". The record is from RNAcentral. Lineage: Eukaryota; Viridiplantae; Streptophyta; Magnoliopsida; Brassicales; Brassicaceae.